UGGUGGUGGUGGUGGGUAGGGAUUUGCUACCAAAUCAUGUCUGCAUAUCCCUUCUUUUGCUCUCUUUAAUCACUUCCAAUCUUUAUAUAUAUAUAACUAAGUAAUAAUGCAUUAAGCAUAAGAAUUCCAAUUAUUGUCAAUUAUUUUUCAUGGCAUUGAGUCCAAGUUUAUGAUUGAGUUUCAAUAAUUAAUUAGCUUCAUAAGGUUGUCACUUUCCAAUUAUUUUAUUAUAUAUUUUGAAUCCAUUAAAU
Molecule: long non-coding RNA, 251 nt
Filed under: Manihot esculenta (cassava)
Lineage: Eukaryota; Viridiplantae; Streptophyta; Magnoliopsida; Malpighiales; Euphorbiaceae
Description: long non-coding RNA (MESC_LNC008474)
Source: RNAcentral